AUUGAACGCUGGCGGCAUGCCUUACACAUGCAAGUCGAACGGUAACAGGUCUUCGGGUGCUGACGAGUGGCGAACGGGUGAGUAAUACAUCGGAACGUGCCUAGUAGUGGGGGAUAACUACUCGAAAGAGUGGCUAAUACCGCAUGAGAUCUACGGAUGAAAGCAGGGGAUCGCAAGACCUUGUGCUACUAGAGCGGCCGAUGGCAGAUUAGGUAGUUGGUGGGAUAAAAGCUUACCAAGCCGACGAUCUGUAGCUGGUCUGAGAGGACGAUGAGCCACAGUGGGACUGGGACACGGCCCAGACUCCUACGGGAGGCAGCAGUGGGGAAUGUUGGACAAUGGGCGAAAGCCUGAUCCAGCAAUGCCGCGUGCAGGAUGAAGGCCUUCGGGUUGUGAACUGCUUUUGUACGGAACGAAAAGCCCCGGGUUAAUACCCUGGGGUCAUGACGGUACCGUAAGAAUAAGCACCGGCUAACUACGUGCCAGCCGCCGCCGUAA
This 498-nucleotide ribosomal RNA is filed under the name uncultured bacterium. RNAcentral describes it as "partial 16S ribosomal RNA". It matches the Rfam family "Bacterial small subunit ribosomal RNA", at positions 30 to 523 of the family's 1533-position model. The record is from RNAcentral.